UACGUAGGGACCAAGCGUUGUUCGGAUUUACUGGGCGUAAAGGGCGCGUAGGCGGCUUGUCAAGUCACUUGUGAAAUCUCUGGGCUUAACCCAGAACGGCCAAGUGAAACUGUCAUGCUAGAGUGCAGAAGGGGCAAUCGGAAUUCUUGGUGUAGCGGUGAAAUGCGUAGAUAUCAAGAGGAACACCUGAGGUGAAGGCGGGUUGCUGGGCUGACACUGACGCUGAGGCGCGAAAGCCAGGGGAGCAAACGGG
Molecule: ribosomal RNA, 253 nt
Filed under: uncultured bacterium
Lineage: Bacteria
Description: partial 16S ribosomal RNA
Rfam family: Bacterial small subunit ribosomal RNA
Source: RNAcentral